This 207-nucleotide ribosomal RNA is filed under the name uncultured bacterium. Its description in RNAcentral is "partial 16S ribosomal RNA". It matches the Rfam family "Bacterial small subunit ribosomal RNA", at positions 568 to 774 of the family's 1533-position model. The record is from RNAcentral.
CGUGUAGGCGGCUUGCCAAGUCCGGUGUGAAAUCUCGGGGCUCAACCCCGAAACUGCAUUGGAAACUGGCUUGCUAGAGUCCGGAAGAGGAGAGUGGAAUUCCUGGUGUAGCGGUGAAAUGCGCAGAUAUCAGGAAGAACACCGGUGGCGAAGGCGGCUCUCUGGGACGGUACUGACGCUGAGACGCGAAAGCGUGGGUAGCGAACA